CCAACAGAGACGGGCACCGUGACGCAUUCUGCAAAAACGUUUCUGCAGCAUUACACGACAAGCAGUUUGAUGGCCGCAUGAAUUUGGUAGGAGGGGAAAUGGCUUCCCGGUGUCCUGUCCUGGCAUUCAACCUCCUCCGCUCUGCUGCACGCCACAG
RNAcentral lists this long non-coding RNA (157 nucleotides) under Oryzias sinensis (Chinese medaka). RNAcentral describes it as "lncRNA (ENSOSIG00000019512.1)". Lineage: Eukaryota; Metazoa; Chordata; Actinopteri; Beloniformes; Adrianichthyidae. The record is from RNAcentral.